AGGGAAACCGAGUCUUAACCGGGCGUUAAGUUGCAGGGUAUAGACCCGAAACCCGGUGAUCUAGCCAUGGGCAGGUUGAAGGUUGGGUAACACUAACUGGAGGACCGAACCGACUAAUGUUGAAAAAUUAGCGGAUGACCUGUGGCUGGGGGUGAAAGGCCAAUCAAACCGGGAGAUAGCUGGUUCUCCCCGAAAGCUAUUUAGGUAGCGCCUCGUGAAUUCAUCUCCGGGGGUAGAGCACUGUUUCGGCUAGGGGGCCAUCCCGGCUUACCAACCCGAUGCAAACUGCGAAUACCGGAGAAUGUUAUCACGGGAGACACACGGCGGGUGCUAACGUCCGUCGUGAAGAGGGAAACAACCCAGACCGCCAGCUAAGGUCCCAAAGUCAUAGUUAAGUGGGAAACGAUGUGGGAAGGCCCAGACAGCCAGGAUGUUGGCUUAGAAGCAGCCAUCAUUUAAAGAAAGCGUAAUAGCUCACUGGUCGAGUCGGCCUGCGCGGAAGAUGUAACGGGGCUAAACUAUGCACCGAAGCUGCGGCAGCGACACUAUGUGUUGUUGGGUAGGGGAGCGUUCUGUAAGCCUGUGAAGGUGUGUCGUGAGGCAUGCUGGAGGUAUCAGAAGUGCGAAUGCUGACAUAAGUAACGAUAAAGCGGGUGAAAAGCCCGCUCGCCGGAAGACCAAGGGUUCCUGUCCAACGUUAAUCGGGGCAGGGUGAGUCGACCCCUAAGGCGAGGCCGAAAGGCGUAGUCGAUGGGAAACGGGUUAAUAUUCCCGUACUUGGUGUUACUGCGAAGGGGGGACGGAGAAGGCUAUGUUGGCCGGGCGACGGUUGUCCCGGUUUAAGCGUGUAGGUGUGUGUUCCAGGUAAAUCCGGUUCACUUUAACACUGAGGCGUGACGACGAGGCACUACGGUGCUGAAGCAACAAAUGCCCUGCUUCCAGGAAAAGCCUCUAAGCAUCAGGUAACAUCAAAUCGUACCCCAAACCGACACAGGUGGUCAGGUAGAGAAUACCAAGGCGCUUGAGAGAACUCGGGUGAAGGAACUAGGCAAAAUGGUGCCGUAACUUCGGGAGAAGGCACGCUGACACGUAGGUGAAGUGAUUUACUCAUGGAGCUGAAGUCAGUCGAAGAUACCAGCUGGCUGCAACUGUUUAUUAAAAACACAGCACUGUGCAAACACGAAAGUGGACGUAUACGGUGUGACGCCUGCCCGGUGCCGGAAGGUUAAUUGAUGGGGUCAGCGCAAGCGAAGCUCCUGAUCGAAGCCCCGGUAAACGGCGGCCGUAACUAUAACGGUCCUAAGGUAGCGAAAUUCCUUGUCGGGUAAGUUCCGACCUGCACGAAUGGCGUAAUGAUGGCCAGGCUGUCUCCACCCGAGACUCAGUGAAAUUGAACUCGCUGUGAAGAUGCAGUGUACCCGCGGCAAGACGGAAAGACCCCGUGAACCUUUACUAUAGCUUGACACUGAACAUUGAGCCUUGAUGUGUAG
Molecule: ribosomal RNA, 1490 nt
Filed under: Salmonella enterica subsp. enterica serovar Newport
Lineage: Bacteria; Pseudomonadati; Pseudomonadota; Gammaproteobacteria; Enterobacterales; Enterobacteriaceae
Description: partial 23S ribosomal RNA
Rfam family: Bacterial large subunit ribosomal RNA
Source: RNAcentral